UAACGCGUGGGCAACCUGCCUCAUACNGGGGGAUAACAGUUAGAAAUGACUGCUAAUACCGCAUAAGACCGCGGUGCCGCAUGGCACAGCGGUAAAAACUCCGGUGGUAUGAGAUGGGCCCGCGUCUGAUUAGCUAGUUGGCGGGGUAACGGCCCACCAAGGCGACGAUCAGUAGCCGACCUGAGAGGGCGACCGGCCACAUUGGGACUGAGACACGGCCCAAACUCCUACGGGAGGCAGCAGUGGGGAAUAUUGCACAAUGGGGGAAACCCUGAUGCAGCGACGCCGCGUGAGCGAUGAAGUAUUUCGGUAUGUAAAGCUCUAUCAGCAGGGAAGAAGAUGACGGUACCUGACUAAGAAGCCCCGGCUAACUACGUGCCAGCAGCCGCGGUAAUACGUAGGGGGCAAGCGUUAUCCGGAUUUACUGGGUGUAAAGGGAGCGUAGACGGCGAUGCAAGCCAGAUGUGAAAGCCCGGGGCUCAACCCCGGGACUGCAUUUGGAACUGUGUGGCUGGAGUGUCGGAGAGGCAGGCGGAAUUCCUAGUGUAGCGGUGAAAUGCGUAGAUAUUAGGAGGAACACCAGUGGCGAAGGCGGCCUGCUGGACGAUGACUGACGUUGAGGCUCGAAAGCGUGGGGAGCAAACAGGAUUAGAUACCCUGGUAGUCCACGCCGUAAACGAUGACUGCUAGGUGU
Molecule: ribosomal RNA, 694 nt
Filed under: uncultured bacterium
Lineage: Bacteria
Description: bacterial SSU rRNA
Rfam family: Bacterial small subunit ribosomal RNA
Source: RNAcentral